This 307-nucleotide unclassified non-coding RNA is filed under the name uncultured fungus. Its description in RNAcentral is "partial contains 5.8S ribosomal RNA, internal transcribed spacer 2, and large subunit ribosomal RNA". The record is from RNAcentral. Lineage: Eukaryota; Fungi.
AACGCAAGUUGCGCCCGAAGCCAUUAGGCUGAGGGCACGUCUGCCUGGGCGUCACGCAUCGUCGCCACCUCCCCCCUCGCUCUCUGAGCUUGGUCGGGGGUGACGGAAUUUGGCUUCCCGUGCUCCUUCGAGCGCGGCUGGCCUAAAUAGGAGUCCUCCCCUCAGGAUGUCACGACUAGUGGUGGUUGAAAAUCUCAACUCGAUCGGGGUCGUGUCUUAACCUGUCGCGGAGCGUUCUCUGAGACCCUGGAGCCUUAAGGCCCUCGACAAUGACCCCAGGUCAGGCGGGAUUACCCGCUGAGUUUAA